Molecule: long non-coding RNA, 2058 nt
Organism: Oryza brachyantha (malo sina)
Lineage: Eukaryota; Viridiplantae; Streptophyta; Magnoliopsida; Poales; Poaceae
Exons: 6
Source: RefSeq, a predicted model, not a curated record
CCCCUCACUCGUGCCGCCGUCCUUCCCUCGCGCUCGCCGUUCUCCUCGCCCAGAAUCUCUCGCUUUGAGCCAUCGUCGCCGCGACGCCACCAUCGGUCCGGUCCGUCUGGCCACCGCAUCAGCUAACAGUGGCCCUAACCUCCUCCCCGGUAGAUCUGCCCUCGUGGAGGAGAGGGACGCGAGCCACAUCGCCGCCACUUCUUCUCCUCUUUCAUCUUUGCCCGCCACUGCCUCCUUGCCAUCACCAUGUCUGCUUUGCUCGGUGUGGUGCUAGACAAAGCUGGAGCACGUUGACAUAUUAUAACAUCAAACCUUGAAUCUGGCCACCAUAAAAGUGCAGUUAAUACAAGGAACGAAAGCAAUUGUUUCUCAUAUGCAAAUGUUGUGUGAUAAUUUCGCUGGCCUGGAUCCCAGUGUACGGUAAUACACUUUUCCUUUUCUUUGCAUGCCCAACAGAUCGGUUUAGUGCUGAUGAAUGAGACUUUGAUUAAAGUGUAGCCACAAACAUGUUUCUUCCUUGAGCAAAGAGAGAAGAGUGUUUCAGUGAUAGAUACAUCCAGCUCACCCAAAAGGAUCAAUGCAUGGAACACAAAUCUCUAACAGCUGCAGGCUGGUUGAUAGAUGACAUCGUACUGAUCCCUGCUGGACGUAGUGCGAGAUCAAAGGGUGGAUGUUAGCAGGGAUCAGAACGCAAUUAACGAAAAGCAUAGGGGCGUUUUUGCAAAACUCGAUCUUUCCUAAUCAUAUUUAAUUGACUUACUCUUAGGCUAAUCUUGACAUAUAUUGAAUUAAAUCAAUCCAAAUAAAUAUAUUAGCCUUUACCCUUUGCAUAGUCAAGAAUUGGUGGACAAGUCCAGAUAUUAUAUAUGGUGAUAUAUUUGUGUUCUUUGGGAGAAGCAGGUGAAAUCUGUCAUUGCACACAUGGUUUGGCUUCGCUCCCUUCAGAUCUAUUCAUGCAAUGCCUUUUGACAUAAAAGUACAACAAAUUGGUUAUCAUGCAUUGUAUAGUCCUGAUUGAAGGGUUUUUCUUGCACCUUUGCCCUUGCCCCAUGCGAUUUCUGUCUCUGGUGAGGUCCCAGUAAUUUUUGUUUCAUUGUUCUUAUCCUUAUUCUUAUCCCCUAUCAGGUUUUAUUUAGGCCAAUUGUUUUGGUUUGUGGUUUAGAUGUAUGUUGUUGAUUCGCUUGUGAUUCAUUGUCUCUAUUUUAUUAUGCUCAUGGAUUCCUCCUCUGCUGUUUACUGCUACCCAAUAAUCAAAAUUAUGAUGAUAUGUUGUUUUCUGGUUCAACGUCAUUACAAUAACUAUUUGUUAAUUCAUUUUAUUCAGCUUUGGAAAAAAAGGAAUAAGAUUAGGCUAUGAAUUACUACAAUAGUAAAAGUGAUAGUCCUAUAGUUUUGCUAUUUGGUGCUCUUUUCUUCUUUGCAGUUGGUUAAACAUGCAAGAGAUGAUGCUUAAUUGAGUCCAUGACUCUGGAUGUAUAAUGCCAAAAUAAAUGAUAUAUUGGAUUGCUAGUGCUUUUGCUAGAUUAAUUAUAUAUUGUAUGAUCAUGUCCACCAAAUUAAAAUACCAUAGGCACCAUGAUAAUGGUAUCCAAUACGGGACUAUUCCUAUACUAUUGCGAUAUGCUUGCAACUCAUAUGCAUCAAGCUUCACAGAAGUCGCUGGAUAUCGAUUCUAUUGAACAACUGGUGUUUGCUAAUAAGAUGUAAGCUGAUCUGUGCACCCAUUUGCUCUGCUCUACUCCGUUUCAUUAAGCUCAAGGCAUCAGGCACUGUUGCUAUGACCCCCUUUCCCCAGAGUAAACACGGGUUGGUUGUGUAUAUGCAAUGCUGUGACGUGGUCGUUGUUGAGCUUAAGAUCUAUGUAUACAAUAGAAUGGUUUUUGUCUUUUAGUUUGCCAUAUGAUGUGAAGAUGAAUGAUUUACUGCAAACUGAAGUUAUAUACCUGUAUUAACCUUCAUGAACUGCCUUUGAUGUUGCUAUAAAAUAUUAGCAACAUAUCUUAAUGGUCAACUAUUGGGUAACCGUUGGACGGAAUAAGAUUGUACUACCCUUCUUUG